Molecule: non-coding RNA, 781 nt
Organism: Vicugna pacos (alpaca)
Lineage: Eukaryota; Metazoa; Chordata; Mammalia; Artiodactyla; Camelidae
Source: RefSeq, a predicted model, not a curated record
AGAAAAUUAUAGCUAAGGAGCUGGGAGAAACAAGGUAGAAUGUGGUGAGGUAAGGAGAGAGAUGAUGGGAUGGAUAUAGGGUAGGAGAGAAGCAGGAAGGAGAAGUAGAGAGAUGCACCAAACAAGAGGCUUAGCCCAGGUUUGAGUUGGAGACUUAGCUGACAGUUCUAGGGCAGAAAGGUAGGGAAGGGAUAGCCAGGGGGCUAUCAGCUAUGCAGGAGCUGCCAGGAGUCAACAGCUGGCUCUGGGAGGGACAAAGAUUGAGAAAAAGGAAAUAAUUAAAUUUUUAAGAGCAGAAGGUAAAAAGGAAAGGGGUGAAAAGGGGUAGGCAGGGAUGAGAGUUAUUGGUCUGACUGGAGCUGGGCUAAAUAUUCUAUCUUGCCAUCAGCUUGGAAACACUGGGUGUGUCAGUUGCUGUGUAGGCAAAAUUGAAAUGAGAAGCCUGUCUCCUCUAUACUCAAUAGCAAAUGACUUUAGUAGAGUCUAAUGAACCAUGCAUACAAGGAAAGAAAAAGGUUAACUGAGGUUGAAAAAAAAAAAGCCUUAUGCGGCAGUUUUCAAACAAGCAGGUUGACUUGGCUUGUGUGACGGUGAUGAUGCCUGAUUUGGAGCAGAGCAAUUUGUGUUGUACCAUUUUAAAAUCCAUUCUGGCAUACUGUGAUGAAUGUGCUGGCUGACAGCUAAGAACCUGCUGGAAUGCAAGAGUCUUUCACCAUUUAUAAUCGACACUUCCCCUUCCAGGAAAGAGCCUUUCUAAUCUCUGAAGCAGUGGACUUAUCAA